UAGAAUGAAACUUUUCUUAACGGCAAUGAAAAAAAAAUAGAAAAAUGCUUGCUUUUGUGCUAUGAAAGAGAGAAAAGAAAAAACAGUCCUUGAAUAUUUGCAACAAAAGACCAUCACUUGCUACUGGAAUUGACUGGAUUAGAAAGCUAAAGUUUGGAGGAAAAUGCGCAAAUAUCAAGGUUACCUGGGUCUGCUGGUCACUUCCUAGUUUUUGGACUCUUGAAGAUGGGGAUUUGCUGAUUUGUAAGCAUGGAGCAGGCAAUCAGUAGAAGGUUGAUGAAAGUCACCCAGAAGGAAAUAAAAGGCAGGGAUAAUGCACAGGAGAUACAAUGGCUGGUGUACAAGCAAGAAGUGGACACUUCAUGCCCAUGAUAUCUUGAGAGAGGUAAGGUGUGGCAGAUUCAGAAUACACCUUUAGGAGUCCUCUAGAGAUGACAGGAGGUGCCGCUCCAACUGAGGAUGAUUCCAGCAGGAAAAGCUUUCAAUUCACCCUACUAUCAUUUCCA
This is a long non-coding RNA of Neofelis nebulosa (Clouded leopard), 506 nucleotides long. RefSeq lists it as uncharacterized. The transcript has 3 exons. The record is from RefSeq and is a predicted model, not a curated record. Lineage: Eukaryota; Metazoa; Chordata; Mammalia; Carnivora; Felidae.